AGUCUAACCUUCGGGAGGACGUUCACCACGGAGUGAUUCAUGACUGGGGUGAAGUCGUAACAAGGUAGCCCUAGGGGAACCUGGGGCUGGAUCACCUCCUUAUACGA
This is a ribosomal RNA of 107 nucleotides. It matches the Rfam family "Bacterial small subunit ribosomal RNA", at positions 1432 to 1533 of the family's 1533-position model.